RNAcentral lists this ribosomal RNA (198 nucleotides) under uncultured bacterium. RNAcentral describes it as "partial 16S ribosomal RNA". It matches the Rfam family "Bacterial small subunit ribosomal RNA", at positions 328 to 539 of the family's 1533-position model. The record is from RNAcentral.
ACGCUCGACACCUACGGGAGACAGCAGUGGGGAAUAUUGCACAAUGGGGGAAACCCUGAUGCAGCGACGCCGCGUGGAGGAAGAAGGUCUUCGGAUUGUAAACUCCUGUUGUUGGGGAAAAAGAGGAUGGUACCCAACAAGGAAGUGACGGCUAACUACGUGUCAGCAGCCGCGGUAAUCUGAGCGGGCUGGCAAGGC